Molecule: transfer RNA, 67 nt
Filed under: Marmota monax (woodchuck)
Lineage: Eukaryota; Metazoa; Chordata; Mammalia; Rodentia; Sciuridae
Description: tRNA.Val
Source: RNAcentral
GAGUGUAGCUCAGUGGUAGAGUGCCUGCCUCACAUGUGUGAGGCACUGGGUUCAAUCAUCAGCACCA